UUAGCUAGUUGGUAGGGUAACGGCCUACCAAGGCCAUGACGGGUAGCGGGUGUGAGAGCACGACCCGCGUCAUUGGGANUGAGACACUGCCCAGACACCUACGGGUGGCUGCAGUCGAGAAUCUUCGGCAAUGGGCGCAAGCCUGACCGAGCGACGCCGCGUGUGGGAUGAAGGCCUUCGGGUUGUAAACCACUGUCAGAGGGGAUGAAAUGCAGGUGGGUUCUCCCAUCUGUUUGACAUAGCCUCAGAGGAAGGACGGGCUAAGUUCGUGCCAGCAGCCGCGGUAAGACGAACCGUCCGAACGUUAUUCGGAAUCACUGGGCUUAAAGGGUGCGUAGGCGGCGCGGAAAGUUGGGUGUGAAAUCCCUCGGCUCAACCGAGGAACUGCGCCCAAAACUACCGUGCUCGAGGGAGAUAGAGGUGAGCGGAACUUAGGGUAGAGCGGUGAAAUGCGUUGAUAUCCUAAGGAACACCGGUGGCGAAAGCGGCUCACUGGAUCUCUUCUGACGCUGAGGCACGAAAGCUAGGGUAGCGAACGGGAUUAGAUACCCCGGUAGUCCUAGCCGNAAACGAUGAGCACUGGAUUGGAGGGUCCUCCAUAGCCUUCCAGUCGCGACGAAAGCGUUAAGUGCUCCGCCUGGGGAGUAUGGUCGCAAGGCUGAAACUCAAAGGAAUUGACGGGGGCUCACACAANCGGUGGAGGAUGUGGCUUAAUUCGAGGCUACGCGAAGAACCUUAUCCUAGUCUUGACAUGCACGGAUUAACUCUCNGAAAAGAGAGCCA
RNAcentral lists this ribosomal RNA (783 nucleotides) under uncultured Planctomycetaceae bacterium. RNAcentral's name for it is "bacterial SSU rRNA". It matches the Rfam family "Bacterial small subunit ribosomal RNA", at positions 241 to 1015 of the family's 1533-position model. Lineage: Bacteria; Pseudomonadati; Planctomycetota; Planctomycetia; Planctomycetales; Planctomycetaceae. The record is from RNAcentral.